CCUACGGGUGGCAGCAGUGAGGAAUAUUGGUCAAUGGGCGGGAGCCUGAACCAGCCAAGUCGCGUGGGUGAAGGAGCGUUUCGGCGCGUAAAGCCCUGUCAGCGGGGAAGAAGAAAGACGGUACCCGACCAAGAAGCCCCGGCUAACUACGUGCCAGCAGCCGCGGUAAUACGUAGGGGGCGAGCGUUAUCCGGAAUUACUGGGUGUAAAGGGAGCGUAGACGGCGAGGUAAGCCUGAAGUGGAAGCCCGCGGCCCAACCGCGGAACUGCUUUGGGAACUGUUUUGCUGGAGUAUGGGAGGGGUAAGCGGAAUUCCUGGUGUAGCGGUGAAAUGCGUAGAUAUCAGGAGGAACACCGGUGGCGAAGGCGGCUUACUGGACCAUAACUGACGUUGAGGCUCGAAAGCGUGGGGAGCGAACAGGAUUAGAUACCCGGGUAGUC
This 441-nucleotide ribosomal RNA is filed under the name uncultured bacterium. RNAcentral's name for it is "partial 16S ribosomal RNA". It matches the Rfam family "Bacterial small subunit ribosomal RNA", at positions 338 to 795 of the family's 1533-position model. The record is from RNAcentral.